RNAcentral lists this ribosomal RNA (492 nucleotides) under uncultured bacterium. RNAcentral's name for it is "partial 16S ribosomal RNA". It matches the Rfam family "Bacterial small subunit ribosomal RNA", at positions 29 to 507 of the family's 1533-position model. The record is from RNAcentral.
AGUGAACGCUGGCGGUAGGCCUAACACAUGCAAGUCGAACGGCAGCACAGUAAGAGCUUGCUCUUACGGGUGGCGAGUGGCGGACGGGUGAGGAAUACAUCGGAAUCUACUUUUUCGUGGGGGAUAACGUAGGGAAACUUCCGCUAAUACCGCAUACGACCUACGGGUGAAAGCAGGGGAUCUUCGGACCUUGCGCGAAUGAAUGAGCCGAUGUCGGAUUAGCUAGUUGGCGGGGUAAAGGCCUACCAAGGCGACGAUCCGUAGCUCGUCUGAGAGGAUGAUCAGCCACACUGGAACUGAGACACGGUCCAGACUCCUACGGGAGGCAGCAGUCGGGAAUAUUGGACAAUGGGCGCAAGCCUGAUCCAGCCAUACCGCGUGGGUGAAGAAGGCCUUCGGGUUGUAAAGCCAUUUUGUUGUGAAAGAAAAGCAGCAGGUUUAUACCCCGCUGUUCUGACGGUACCCAAAGAAUAAGCACCGGCUAACUUCGUG